Molecule: long non-coding RNA, 1000 nt
Organism: Tyto alba (common barn owl)
Lineage: Eukaryota; Metazoa; Chordata; Aves; Strigiformes; Tytonidae
Exons: 4
Source: RefSeq, a predicted model, not a curated record
UGAAACUGAGCCAGUCAUGGUUCUUCUUGAAAGGCAUGAAAUGGGGCUGGGACCUCUAGGAAAACCAUGAAAGCUGAAGUUGAAAGGUCUUCUGGAACACCCUUGGAGUCCAUUCCUCAUCACAACUAAAAUAUUGAGAAAGGAGAGCAAAAUAGUUGAAGUCAGUGAACAGAGUUUCUUCCCCAGUGCUGGAACCAUGGUCCAUCAGAGAAGAAAGAGCGAGGGAGUGAUGGAGAGAGAGAACUGAUGCAAGGUGAAAGAUCAUGCCUCAGGACACACUACCUGCAUAUGUCAGUGACACUGACCACUGAGGAGAAGCACUCCAAAAAGUAUUAAACAGGUGUUAGUUUAAAUGUUGAUCCAGAAGCUAGAAGAUACAAGAGAAGGAUGUGAUGAUGGAAUCUUCAGGGGCUGUGCUGAAUAGGUGAAGGAGACUCAAACUGAAUUAGGAUGUGCAGUACGAGAGAGCUGGAUACAGUAACCUCUUGAGAUCUCCACCAUCAAUUGCUGUCAGUAAGGAAUCUGUGGCCAGAAGAACUGGAAGGGCAUUUUGGAAGGUGCAUGAGGCUCCUGCCAGAGCUAGUCCCUCACAACCCUCACUUUAGGGAGUAUCUGCCUUAAGUCUUGCAAGACUCAUACACUAUUCCUUCAUCAAACCACAUUCUGCUUUUUUAUCAUGACCAGUUGCAGCUGGCAGACCUGAAUACUUACUGCUGGUCUUGCAGCCAGACAGAGCUGCCAGUACAUGAAGCAUCUCUCUGCCAUGGAACUUCCUGUCUUGAACAGUCCUUCAGUCCAGCAGAGGAUGAAGCUUCCCAGCACUUCUGCAUCUUCAGGAGUUCUUGAUUCCUAUAUCUGAAGACUGGUGAUGUUGCUGAAUGCUUUGACCUCCAGUGUAACCCAGACCAAAGAACAUCAGACAAUAUUUUGCAUUUUGUUUCAGUGGUUGCUGCACUCAGGAAGUGUGAAUACUUGGAUCUUCACUCCGAGUGAAGCAAGU